CCUACGGGAGGCAGCAGUGAGGAAUAUUGGUCAAUGGGCGUAAGCCUGAACCAGCCAAGUCGCGUGAGGGAUGAAGGUUCUAUGGAUCGUAAACCUCUUUUAUAAGGGAAUAAAGUGUGGGACGUGUCCUGUUUUGUAUGUACCUUAUGAAUAAGGAUCGGCUAACUCCGUGCCAGCAGCCGCGGUAAUACGGAGGAUCCGAGCGUUAUCCGGAUUUAUUGGGUUUAAAGGGUGCGUAGGCGGCCUUUUAAGUCAGGGGUGAAAGUCUGUGGCUCAACCAUCAAAUUGCCGUUGAAACUGGGAGGCUUGAGUAUGUUUGAGGCAGGCGGAAUGCGUGGUGUAGCGGUGAAAUGCUUAGAUAUCACGCAGAACCCCGAUUGCGAAGGCAGCCUGCCAAGCCAUGACUGACGCUGAUGCACGAAAGCGUGGGGAUCAAACAGGAUUAGAUACCCCGGUAGUC
Molecule: ribosomal RNA, 460 nt
Filed under: uncultured bacterium
Lineage: Bacteria
Description: partial 16S ribosomal RNA
Rfam family: Bacterial small subunit ribosomal RNA
Source: RNAcentral